AUUGAACGCUGGCGGCAUGCUUUACACAUGCAAGUCGAACGGUAACAGGGAGCUUGCUCCGCUGACGAGUGGCGAACGGGUGAGUAAUAUAUCGGAACGUACCCAAGAGUGGGGGAUAACGUAGCGAAAGUUACGCUAAUACCGCAUACGAUCUAUGGAUGAAAGCAGGGGACCUUCGGGCCUUGUGCUCCUGGAGCGGCCGAUAUCUGAUUAGCUAGUUGGUGAGGUAAAGGCUCACCAAGGCGACGAUCAGUAGCUGGUCUGAGAGGACGACAAGCCGCACAGGAACUGAGACACGGCCCAGGCGCCUCCGGGAGGCAGCAGUGGGGGAUUUUGGACAAUGGGCGCAGGCCUGAUCCAGCAAUGCCGCGUGAGUGAAGAAGGCCUUCGGGUUGUAAAGCUCUUUUGUCAGGGAAGAAACGGCUGUGGCUAAUAUCCACGGCUAAUGACGGUACCUGAAGAAUAAGCACCGGCUAACUACGUGCCAGCCGCCGCCGUAA
Molecule: ribosomal RNA, 500 nt
Filed under: uncultured bacterium
Lineage: Bacteria
Description: partial 16S ribosomal RNA
Rfam family: Bacterial small subunit ribosomal RNA
Source: RNAcentral